Long non-coding RNA from Alnus glutinosa, 464 nucleotides. RefSeq lists it as uncharacterized. NCBI's taxonomy places the organism in Eukaryota, Viridiplantae, Streptophyta, Magnoliopsida, Fagales, Betulaceae. The record is from RefSeq and is a predicted model, not a curated record. The transcript has 3 exons.
UAAUUUUUCUAUCCAUUUUCACAACUUCUGUUAGGGUGAGUCACCGUUUGUCCACGUAGACAUCGACACCUCAAGUUAAAAACUACGCCGUUUUUAAUGUUGGCUUUACACAUCAGCCCCAACGCAUGCGAAAUUUCUUUAAGCAAGAACCUGAGGCUUGAAGAACGUCAACUCUUAGGGAAGGAUGAUUAGAAAAGAAAAAAAGUUAGAAGAAGGAGAAGGAGCGGGUGGAAUUGAAGACUUCUCUAAUCAAACCCAUGCAAAUAAGGGUUUACAAUCACCGUCACGUCCUGGGAAGCACUUCUUUGGGUGUGCCAUGUAUGAUGCACAAAGGAAAGCCGGGCAAUGUCGUUUUUUCCAUUGGUUUGACAAAGAGACAUGUCCCCAUGGAAAGGAAUUACUACCUCCAUUGCGUGAUGAAUUGAAGUGCUUGAAGGAAAAGGUAAUACAACUUAGAGCAUGGA